Long non-coding RNA from Lytechinus pictus (painted urchin), 2307 nucleotides. RefSeq lists it as uncharacterized. Lineage: Eukaryota; Metazoa; Echinodermata; Echinoidea; Temnopleuroida; Toxopneustidae. The transcript has 2 exons. The record is from RefSeq and is a predicted model, not a curated record.
CCAUUUACAUCGUGUACCGUACUGGUGCUGGACGUGCAUGCGGGAGGUAUCGGCGAAAUUGGCGCCAGCCAUGGCACCUUGAUCGAGUCAACAUGGCGUCAUACGUAUCGUGGCUUGCGAUUCCAAAGUUUUUCUGACCAGUUUCCCUCCUUUUAGAUCCAGUAUUGUUGGCUUUUUUACCUGGUUGCCCCCGUAGAUUGUACUCUUUCUGUCUAACGUCCAUUUUGGCAAUAUUUGGUCCAAGUAGGCAUGUAAUUUUCCACCAAAAAUAAAGUAUGUUUUCAGGAGCUCACUCAAGAGUGCUACCGCUCUGUCGACAUCGCGUCAAUUCAAUGCAGUCCUUAACGGGUUUCUUUUCCGGUCAGUAUAUUUAAGCUCGCGCUUUGCGCUCGUGUUAACUCUUUAGUUAAUUCAUGGACCUAAAUGGUUUAAUGAGCCCUAAAGUUUGAGCUUGUGAUUCACGCUCGCAACAUCUCGCAAUAAUGUCAUUUUAACAGUAAUUGACACUAAAAACGAAAAUUCAUUCGGCCGCCCUUGCCUUUCCAUCCUCAUAACAAUUGAACGGCAACGGUGUUUAUCCCCCCCACCACCACACUUUCCCUUCCUCUGCUUUCCCGGAUUUCAUUUUUCGGAUUAACGAACCUUAGGAUUUCGGAAUAAAGAACCUUAUUUCGUUUUCGGAUUAACAUGAUUAACGAACCUUCGGAACAACGAACCAUAUUUCGUUUUCGGAUUAACGAACCUUCGGAACAACGAACCUUAUUUCGUUUUCGGAUUAACGAACCUUCGGAACAACGAAUCUUAUUUCGUUUUCGAAUUAACGAACAUCAAGGUAUAGGCAAUUUACGUGUUUCGGAAUUACGAACAUUCGGAAUUACGAAGUGUAACCGUACAAGUUAUAUCGAGUGCCCGGGAUCGACUUUCUAUGUUGAGCCGAUGACGUACGUUAUGUGAAUUUUGUAUGGACGUGCAAUUUUUAAGUGAAAGGUCGAUCGGUGGUAAUAUCCUUAGCUUGGAAAACCAUGGCAUUAAUGGGACAUUAUUAUUUCCUUGCAUGACAAGCUGGACUUUGGAUUUUGACUAAUGACGACAUUUGUUUACAUCAUCCAUGAUCUUCAGCUGUGUGUGUACGUGUGGCACCUCGGCGUAUCGUCCGUAUACAAAUUCGCAUCAAGCGAUCAAUCGUCUCAUCUACAGUUCAGUUAUCAGACAUCAUCUAUUGUUUCUAGGUUUACACUUAUCAUAGAAGUAUAUUUGGAAGAAAGUUACGAUAUUACGAAGUGCAGAACACGACACCAAGCACAACAAAUCAAACCUUCAAAUUUCCACCUUUUCUUCGUUGAAAUCCAGAUGAGGUAUUUAUUUACUGGAAUAAGCUUCUCGCAUACUUGCAGUCUUCCUUUGAACCUCUUCGGGUAUCAGUGUCCCGAAAACAAACGCAGGUGUAUCAUCAAACCUUUAUGAACAGUGUCUAAUUCUUUAUUUUAAUGAUUUUAUUUUCGGGCCCUUUUUGAAAGGGCAAAGGAAUUUUUCUAGUUAAACGAUCUAUUUGUUUUUUUUUCUUAUUCAGCAUGUUUACACAAUGAUAAAGCAGAAAUAAAUGCGUUGAAUGAUAUGGAAUAGAAUGAUCAUAAUUGAAUAAAACUCAUUUGAAAUUGUUUGACGUGAAAUUCACUGAUAUGAAAUCAAAUUCAAAUUUUGAUGUGAAUUGUUAAGCUUUACUAAGAACGAUUAGCCUGACUGGAGUACAAAUCGAUUCGCAAUGGAAUUGCUAGCACCGAUGAUUUAAACAAACAGAUAAAUAGUAAUCACAUUUUCGCUUGAACGAAUUUGAAUGUUGUAUUGAAUUGAAAAGAGCUAAAUGACAUGGAAGGUGUUUUGAUUAUAAGAUAUAAAGGAUCUAAAUGAUUUGUUUUGUUUAUUUUAGUCUGAUUCAUUUACUUUUUUAUAUCCAAAUCUCCUAUCGAAUUUAUUUGAUAGGCUUUAAGUUUCAUAUCAUUUAUAAACACAAAUGAAAACAAUUUUUUUUCCAGUGACACAAGAAUUAUCACAAAACACAACACUUCAUUAAGUAUUCGUGGCAGACGAAUAUAUAGGCUUCAGAAUUAUAGACAAUUAGGUAAAAUCGUAUUUUUUUUCAAUUAAACGAGUCAAAUACAUGUGUAGGCCUACUGAUCUUGAUAAUUUGGUUUUCCGUAGACAUAUGACGAUGACUGUUGCAUUUAGAUGGCCAUUUAACAAGGUUGAUGCAUUAUAAUUAUACAAUUAUUAACACUAUACAAUAAAUCGGAUAUUUUUUAAAGUUAA